This 329-nucleotide long non-coding RNA is filed under the name Citrus maxima (pomelo). RNAcentral describes it as "long non-coding RNA (CMAX_LNC003095)". Lineage: Eukaryota; Viridiplantae; Streptophyta; Magnoliopsida; Sapindales; Rutaceae. The record is from RNAcentral.
CAGAUGACAAGAAGCCUGAGGAUUGGGAUGAGAGGGCAAAGAUUCCUGACCCUGAUGCAGUAAAACCUGACGACUGGGAUGAGGAUGCUCCGAUGGAAAUUGAAGAUGAGGAUGCUGUGAAACCUGAAGGAUGGCUGGAUGAUGAGCCUGAGGAGAUAGAUGACCCUGAGGCCACAAAACCUGAGGAUUGGGAUGAUGAGGAGGAUGGUGAAUGGGAGGCCCCAAAGAUUGAUAACCCAAAGUGUGAAGCAGCCCCUGGAUGCGGCGAGUGGAAGAGGCCAAUGAAGAGGAAUCCUGCCUACAAGGGCAAAUGGCAUGCUCCACUUAUU